UACGUAGGGCGCAAGCGUUGUCCGGAAUUAUUGGGCGUAAAGAGCUCGUAGGCGGCUUGUCACGUCGAUUGUGAAAGCCCGAGGCUUAACCUCGGGUCUGCAGUCGAUACGGGCUAGCUAGAGUGUGGUAGGGGAGAUCGGAAUUCCUGGUGUAGCGGUGAAAUGCGCAGAUAUCAGGAGGAACACCGGUGGCGAAGGCGGAUCUCUGGGCCAUUACUGACGCUGAGGAGCGAAAGCGUGGGUAGCAAACAGG
RNAcentral lists this ribosomal RNA (253 nucleotides) under uncultured bacterium. RNAcentral describes it as "partial 16S ribosomal RNA". It matches the Rfam family "Bacterial small subunit ribosomal RNA", at positions 524 to 776 of the family's 1533-position model. The record is from RNAcentral.